Molecule: long non-coding RNA, 1307 nt
Organism: Monodelphis domestica (gray short-tailed opossum)
Lineage: Eukaryota; Metazoa; Chordata; Mammalia; Didelphimorphia; Didelphidae
Source: RefSeq, a predicted model, not a curated record
AUAGACCUAUUUAAAGGUGAUGCUGAUGACAAUUUGCCAGGUGAAUAUUAUAAUUAAAUAACCUGCUUUUUGCAAUCUAGUUAUUUUACACAAUUCUUUUUCAACUAAAUAAUUCAAUCUAUCUGAGAUUGAAGAGACACCGUCCUAUCCAUUUUAAAAAACCUCUCUCCAAUUUCUCAUCCUGAAGACCCACAGGGAAUCUCUUCACCAGUGACCAACUUCCAUUUUCCACACACUUGGCAAAACACCUGACGCUGACAGGAUCCUGACAGGACGCAGAAGGGCCCCGCCUGCCCAAACUGCCCUUUGACCCCUGAGAGAAACCCACUGAACUGGACAUUUAUUCCUCUCUGGAAGCAGGAAUUUGGAAACGAUGUCCAUGCAGCAUCUACCAUCUACACACAUAGUUCAAUUCUAAUAUCCUCUGUACAGGAUGGCACAUGUGUCUGGAAAGAGAUGGAUGGACAUAGACCUAGAUGGAGAGGUGGAUGGAUGAUCGAUGGAUCGAUGAACAGGUGCAGACAGAAAGAAGGAAAGACCGAUGAAGACAGAUCCAGACAGACAGAAAGGCAGGCAGGCAGACAAAAUAACAGAUGGCAGGUCGGACAGAAUGACAGUGGGACAGACAGAAUGACAGACAGGGUACAACUUUCUGGAUAGGGGAAAGGAAGUGAUUUAUUUGGAAAUAAAGAUGAUGUAAAAGAUACCAAGAAAAUAAACACUAAAAAGUGGACUCUUUCUACAGGAAAAUGAAAGCGACCUUCCAGAGAAGCAUUUUAGAGUGAGAACAACACGGAAGAAUGUCUAAAAUGAGCACAUUCCCUAUGUAACAUCCAAGUCCAGCAAGAACCGUCACAGUCAUGUUGUCUCCAUUGUUUGCUCAAAAUUCAGGAUUUGCAGAGAUGCCCUCUUCCAUUGAUUUCAAAAGAAUGUCAUCACCCUCACUGAACCGAAGAGGAGACAUUUGCUGCUAUGAUCAGAAUCUAAUUUUUUUUUGUAAAACUAAAUAUGGUUUAUUUAAUUAUAAUAAUAGCUAACAUUGAUAUAGCAUUUGAGGGCAGCCUGGAGGCCUAGUGGAUAGAUUUCCAGGCUUAAAGCCUGGAAAACUCAUUGAUCUGAAUUUCAAUCCAGUCUUAGACACUUUCUAGCCAUGUGAUUCUGGGCAAGUUAACUUCAGUUGCUUAGCCCUUACCACUCUUCUGCCUUGCAAUCAAUACUCAGGAACUUGGAAAAAUGCUAGUCAAUUCUAAGAUAGAAAGUAAGGAGUUAUUUAAAAAAGAAAGAGAAAGGAAAAGAGAAAGAAAAAG